Molecule: long non-coding RNA, 225 nt
Organism: Rattus rattus (black rat)
Lineage: Eukaryota; Metazoa; Chordata; Mammalia; Rodentia; Muridae
Exons: 3
Source: RefSeq, a predicted model, not a curated record
AGGAAAUGGGAUAAUAACCUAAAGUUGCCCUUUAUGGACAAGAUGCCUAGGCAUUGAAUAAAGAAAUUGUAGAAGAGCAGUUGAAAGUAAACCCACAGACCUCAACCACAUGGCCAACCACUAUUUAUGGCCCACUCCAUGACAAGAAUACAUGUCGGAGUCAUACAGUGUAGCGAUGAAGGACUGUGGAUACAGAUCUCAAGGAUGGAGCCCUCCGAUCCUGAC